This 498-nucleotide ribosomal RNA is filed under the name uncultured Flavobacterium sp. Its description in RNAcentral is "bacterial SSU rRNA". It matches the Rfam family "Bacterial small subunit ribosomal RNA", at positions 9 to 506 of the family's 1533-position model. The record is from RNAcentral. Lineage: Bacteria; Pseudomonadati; Bacteroidota; Flavobacteriia; Flavobacteriales; Flavobacteriaceae.
GAGUUUGAUCGUGGCUCAGGAUGAGCGCUAGCGGCAGGCUUAACACAUGCAAGUCGAGGGGUAGAGUUAGCUUGCUAACUUGAGACCGGCGCACGGGUGCGUAACGCGUAUGCAAUCUACCUUGUACAGGGGGAUAGCCCAGAGAAAUUUGGAUUAAUACCCCAUAGUGUUAUGAUGUGGCAUCACAUUAUAACUAAAGUUCCAAACGGUACAAGAUGAGCAUGCGUCCCAUUAGCUAGUUGGUGUGGUAACGGCAUACCAAGGCAACGAUGGGUAGGGGUCCUGAGAGGGAGAUCCCCCACACUGGUACUGAGACACGGACCAGACUCCUACGGGAGGCAGCAGUGAGGAAUAUUGGUCAAUGGGCGCAAGCCUGAACCAGCCAUGCCGCGUGCAGGAUGACGGUCCUAUGGAUUGUAAACUGCUUUUGUACAGGAAGAAACACUCCCUCGUGAGGGGCUUGACGGUACUGUAAGAAUAAGGAUCGGCUAACUCCGU